Molecule: long non-coding RNA, 1193 nt
Filed under: Marmota monax (woodchuck)
Lineage: Eukaryota; Metazoa; Chordata; Mammalia; Rodentia; Sciuridae
Source: RNAcentral
CUUAUCCCUCUCUUUGGAGUCUUUUGUGUUCUUUUCUCUGUACUAUCUGCCUUUUAAGUGUUGUUUUCUGUUGUCAGAAAUGUUCAAUAUUACUUGCAUCUGGACCUCAAUCUCUCCAUGUGUACUUGUUAGAACUAAAACUUAAAGUGGAAUCUAUUAACUGUAUUUAGCUUUAAGCUGUAGCUACUAAAGAGAUUGGUGAAUUUCCCACAUGUUAAGAUUGUUCCUGACUUUUCCCUUUGUUCUGUGAGUUGCAGGAGACAGCUACCUACCUGAGAAAGGCUGCUACUUAACAAGCUUUUCCCUAUGUCCCACUUUCUUCUUCUGAACUCUGAGCUGUCUCUGGUAUUCAGCAACAGUAGAGGUAGUUGUAAAAGUUCCUGGGCCUUUUGGAUUAGAAGAGUUUUUUCCAAGCUGAGUCUCAGCCUCUGAUUAUUUGUUUCCCAUAAUAAAAUUCUUCUGCAGCACUGGCUGCUCAGGACUACCUGAGCCUGACCACUUUAUUCUAAGCCAUUCAAAAGGACUCAAAUCAACUCUUCAGAUUUUCUGCUAGUGUCAUCUAUUUGCCAAGGAGAGCUGACAUGUCUACUGAGAUUUUGCACAUCCCUCCUUACCUCACUCUCUUUUGGCAUCCACUAAUCUUGGCUGCCUGAAGCUUGCAGGCAAGGUCCCUUAGGAGGUUGGUAAUAACUAUGUGCUGUUUUAUCUAUCCUCAUUGCCCAUUCUGUACUCCCGAUCUUUGUGUAACUGUUCCCCCUUUUUCCUUAUUACCCGGGUGGGACUCUCCUCCCCUUUUAUGCACUGAUGAUCCUACAACUCAAGCAGAGGUGAUCAGAGUCCUACUCAUGGUUCAUGUAUGGGCAUAUGGAGAGAAAGGCCCCUGUGUCUGGACCUCAGGCAAGAGCUCCCCUAAGCCGUCUUCUUUGCCUGUGGAGCAGCUUGUGUGUUCAAUGAAACCAGAAGGAACAGGCAAGGAUGCAUGAUGUAGAAAAAGAGAGAAUAAGUCCUGGUGUCAUGCUCUUCCAUUCUGCAGGCCCUGAGGCCCGGAUCCUUUCAGUCAUGUGUUUCCCCAGCCUCUUUCCCAGAUGUGUGAGUCAAUCUGUUUCUUUCCUCCCCUUAGACUGGCUUCAAUUGGAUGUCCAUCUCUUGCAACCUAAAGAGCCCUGACUAAUACAGUCAUCCCUUACUAAGCU